Molecule: ribosomal RNA, 253 nt
Filed under: uncultured bacterium
Lineage: Bacteria
Description: partial 16S ribosomal RNA
Rfam family: Bacterial small subunit ribosomal RNA
Source: RNAcentral
UACGUAGGGUGCGAGCGUUAAUCGGAAUCACUGGGCGUAAAGGGAGCGUAGGCGGGUUUCUAAGUCAGGUGUUUAAUCCCGGGGCCCAACCCCGGACAGGCACUUGAAACUGGGAAUCUUGAAUAGUGGAGAGGUCAGUGGAAUUGGGGGUGUAGCGGUGGAAUGCGUAGAGAUCCCCAAGAACACCAGUUGCGAAGGCGGCUGACUGGACACAUAUUGACGCUGAGGCUCGAAAGCAUGGGGAGCAAACAGG